RNAcentral lists this microRNA precursor (125 nucleotides) under Cajanus cajan (pigeon pea). Its description in RNAcentral is "miRNA gene-KK1_026217". Lineage: Eukaryota; Viridiplantae; Streptophyta; Magnoliopsida; Fabales; Fabaceae. The record is from RNAcentral.
AGCCAUGUAUCAAACUAGUAUAGGUAACAACAGAAGCUGAAAAACCUUUCUGCUCCAUCUCUUUCAAUAGUUCCUUUGCCUCACCAAUUUUUCCUAGUCUACACAGCCCAUUUAUCAAGGUACCA